RNAcentral lists this long non-coding RNA (273 nucleotides) under Lathyrus oleraceus (garden pea). RNAcentral describes it as "Pisum sativum (pea) long non-coding RNA (PSAT_LNC008854)". The record is from RNAcentral. Lineage: Eukaryota; Viridiplantae; Streptophyta; Magnoliopsida; Fabales; Fabaceae.
AAAAUACAUAACUCCUUCAUGCCAAAUCCAAAUGAGGUCAAAGUUGUGACAAAAUUGAAUAGGUUUGAAAGAGGUACAACUUUGAUGAAAGAACUUUUCUCAUUUGAAGUCCAUAGAAAAAUUUAUUCAUGGUGGAAGAAGUGAACAUUUGACUUGGGACUUAGAAAUUUUUCAAAUAUGUUUGAUUUACCAAACUUCCACCUAAACAUUCAUCAUGAUCCAAGCUUAAAAUGAAAAAGUGUUCAACAUGAAAUUUGUUCCCCUUGAUCUCAC